AUGGGAACCCUCAAGGUGACAAUCCUGCUAUGUUUGCUACUGCUCAUGCCACUCCAUUUGGUUCCUGGUUUAGAGGCACUGACCUGCAAAGAGGUCAGUGGGACAUAUACCAAUCCACGAUGUGAUCAGGUUGAAUGUGUUGAGGCCUGCCACAAGGAGGGCUUUACCCGAGGGGGGUGUGAAGAAGUAGUUCCCGCAUCGACGUCGACGAUGCCUAUACCUUCUGGGGGACGUAGGUUGGCGAGGAGGCAGCCCGUUGUUGACCCGAUCCUUGUUUGGUGGCGGUCGCGUGGGCCAGUGACGGUGCCGAGGCUUCCGGACACCGCGGAGGUGGUACGUCACCGUGUCAGCGAGGAGGACGAGCACGUCCGUCGCUACAUGGUUGCAUGGAGGGCAGGUUCGACAAUACCUGGCAGGUUCUUUAGGGAUAUCACUGGAGCUAUGAUCAUGUGA
This 453-nucleotide ribosomal RNA is filed under the name Triticum aestivum (bread wheat). Its description in RNAcentral is "partial small subunit ribosomal RNA". Lineage: Eukaryota; Viridiplantae; Streptophyta; Magnoliopsida; Poales; Poaceae. The record is from RNAcentral.